AUACGUAGGGGGCGAGCGUUGUCCGGAAUGAUUGGGCGUAAAGGGCGCGUAGGCGGCGCGGUAAGUCUGGAGUGAAAGUCCUGCUUUCAAGGUGGGAAUUGCUUUGGAUACUGCCGCGCUUGAGUGCAGGAGAGGUUAUCGGAAUUCCCGGUGUAGCGGUGAAAUGCGUAGAGAUCGGGAGGAACACCAGUGGCGAAGGCGGGUAACUGGACUGCAACUGACGCUGAGGCGCGAAAGUGUGGGGAGCAAACAGGAUUAGAUACCCUGGUAGUCCACACUGUAAACGAUGAAUGCUAGGUGUAGGAGGUAUCGACCCCUUCUGUGCCGCAGUAAACACAAUAAGCAUUCCGCCUGGGGAGUACGGCCGCAAGGUUGAAACUCAAAGGAAUUGACGGGG
RNAcentral lists this ribosomal RNA (397 nucleotides) under uncultured bacterium. Its description in RNAcentral is "partial 16S ribosomal RNA". It matches the Rfam family "Bacterial small subunit ribosomal RNA", at positions 523 to 918 of the family's 1533-position model. The record is from RNAcentral.